GGGAGAGGAGAAAGAAAAAUGAAUCCUGUGUAUCCUGUGUACACCCGUAACCGAGCCUGAUCACCUCGAAGCCUCUCUCUCAGCUCACGUGUAUCAAACAGAGCUGCUACGUUUACCGGUCGUUAUGCGUUGGUUCGUGUUUGAGUACGUGACUUCUUUGCUCUCACUGCCACAGGGGAUGGCUGGGCGGAGAAAUUCAUGACCAGUAAGAUCAAGUGAACUUGCAGAGAACUAUCCACGAUGA
Molecule: long non-coding RNA, 244 nt
Organism: Mauremys mutica (yellowpond turtle)
Lineage: Eukaryota; Metazoa; Chordata; Testudines; Geoemydidae
Exons: 3
Source: RefSeq, a predicted model, not a curated record